CAAUAGCGUAUAUUAAAGCUGUUGCGGUUAAAAAGCUCGUAGUUGGAUUUCUGUCAAGGACAACUGGUCCGCCCUCCGGGUGAGCACAUAGUUUGGUCUUGGCAUCUUGCUGGAAACUGUUGCUGCGCUUGGUUGUGUGGUGCAGCUUUCAGCACUUUCACUUUGAGGAAAUUGGAGUGUUUCAAGCAGGCACAUGCCUUUGGACACAGUAGCAUGGAAUAAUUAGAUUGGGCUUUUGCUCCAACUUGUUGGUUCCUGGAGCUGAGGUGAGAAUCAAUGGGGAUUGUUGGGGGCACCCGAAUUUAGCCGUCAGAGGUGAAAUUCUUGGAUCUGCUAAAGACGGACAACUGCGAANGNGUUUGGNCAGGAUGUUUNCAUUG
Molecule: ribosomal RNA, 380 nt
Filed under: uncultured eukaryote
Lineage: Eukaryota
Description: partial 18S ribosomal RNA
Rfam family: Eukaryotic small subunit ribosomal RNA
Source: RNAcentral